Molecule: non-coding RNA, 138 nt
Organism: Lachnospiraceae bacterium 5_1_57FAA
Lineage: Bacteria; Bacillati; Bacillota; Clostridia; Lachnospirales; Lachnospiraceae
Source: Rfam
AAUAUCUCACGAUGACUGCCGAAGACAGCAGGUGCGUAAGCGUAAGUAGACAAACGCCUGCCGAGGAAAGUUGGAUUCUGUUAUUAUGAAUUACAAUGCCUCUAUGUCUUUGGAUAUAGAGGCUUUUUAGCAUAUAGC